This 497-nucleotide ribosomal RNA is filed under the name uncultured bacterium. RNAcentral's name for it is "partial 16S ribosomal RNA". It matches the Rfam family "Bacterial small subunit ribosomal RNA", at positions 28 to 507 of the family's 1533-position model. The record is from RNAcentral.
GAUGAACGCUGGCGGCGUGCCUAAUACAUGCAAGUCGAGCGAACAGACGAGGAGCUUGCUCCUCUGACGUUAGCGGCGGACGGGUGAGUAACACGUGGAUAACCUACCUAUAAGACUGGGAUAACUUCGGGAAACCGGAGCUAAUACCGGAUAAUAUAUUGAACCUCAUGGUUCAAUAGUGAAAGACGGUUUUGCUGUCACUUAUAGAUGGAUCCGCGCCGCAUUAGCUAGUUGGUAAGGUAACGGCUUACCAAGGCAACGAUGCGUAGCCGACCUGAGAGGGUGAUCGGCCACACUGUAACUGAGACACGUUCCAGACUCCUGCGGGAGGCAGCAGUAGGGAAUCUUCCGCAAUGGGCGAAAGCCUGACGUUGCAACGCCGCGUGAGUGAUGAUGGUCUUCUGCUCGUUAAACUCUGUUAUUAUGGAAGAACAAAUGUGUAAGUAACUAUGCACGUCUUGACGGUACCUAAUCAGAAAGCCACGGCUAACUACGUG